Molecule: ribosomal RNA, 450 nt
Filed under: uncultured bacterium
Lineage: Bacteria
Description: partial 16S ribosomal RNA
Rfam family: Bacterial small subunit ribosomal RNA
Source: RNAcentral
GUGGGGAAUUUUGGACAAUGGGCGCAAGCCUGAUCCAGCAAUGCCGCGUGCAGGAAGAAGGCCUUCGGGUUGUAAACUGCUUUUGUACGGAACGAAAAGGCUCUGGUUAAUACCUGGGGCUCAUGACGGUACCGUAAGAAUAAGCACCGGCUAACUACGUGCCAGCAGCCGCGGUAAUACGUAGGGUGCAAGCGUUAAUCGGAAUUACUGGGCGUAAAGCGUGCGCAGGCGGUUUUGUAAGACAGACGUGAAAUCCCCGGGCUCAAUCGGGGAAUGGCGUUUGUGACUGCAAAGCUGGAGUGCGGCAGAGGGGGAUGGAAUUCCGCGUGUAGCAGUGAAAUGCGUAGAUAUGCGGAGGAACACCGAUGGCGAAGGCAAUCCCCUGGGCCUGCACUGACGCUCAUGCACGAAAGCGUGGGGAGCAAACAGGAUUAGAAACCCGUGUAGUCC